UGGGGAAUCUUGCACAAUGGGCGAAAGCCUGAUGCAGCGACGCCGCGUGCGGGAUGAAGGCCUUCGGGUUGUAAACCGCUUUCAGCAGGGACGAGGCCGCAAGGUGACGGUACCUGCAGAAGAAGCCCCGGCUAACUACGUGCCAGCAGCCGCGGUAAUACGUAGGGGGCAAGCGUUAUCCGGAUUCAUUGGGCGUAAAGCGCGCGUAGGCGGUUUGUUAGGUCAGGAGUUAAAUCUGGGGGCUCAACCCCUAUCCGCUCCUGAUACCGGCAGGCUUGAGUCUGGUAGGGGAAGGCGGAAUUCCAAGUGUAGCGGUGAAAUGCGCAGAUAUUUGGAAGAACACCGGUGGCGAAGGCGGCCUUCUGGGCCACGACUGACGCCGAGGCGCGAAAGCUAGGGGAGCGAACAGG
RNAcentral lists this ribosomal RNA (410 nucleotides) under Verrucomicrobiota bacterium. RNAcentral describes it as "Verrucomicrobia bacterium partial 16S ribosomal RNA". It matches the Rfam family "Bacterial small subunit ribosomal RNA", at positions 355 to 776 of the family's 1533-position model. The record is from RNAcentral. Lineage: Bacteria; Pseudomonadati; Verrucomicrobiota.